RNAcentral lists this small nuclear RNA (107 nucleotides) under Saimiri boliviensis boliviensis (Bolivian squirrel monkey). Lineage: Eukaryota; Metazoa; Chordata; Mammalia; Primates; Cebidae. The record is from RNAcentral.
GUGCUCACUUCAGCAGCACAUAUACUAAAAUUGGAAUCAUACAGAGAAGAUUAGCAUGGCUGCUGUGCAAGGAUAACAUGCAAAUUUGUGAAGUGUUCCAUAUUUUU